UAGAGGAUGAGAAGGAGCUGACCUUGC
This 27-nucleotide non-coding RNA is filed under the name Homo sapiens (human). Lineage: Eukaryota; Metazoa; Chordata; Mammalia; Primates; Hominidae. The record is from RNAcentral.